UACGGAGGAUGCAAGCGUUAUCCGGAUUUAUUGGGUUUAAAGGGUGCGUAGGCGGGGCGAUAAGUCAGUGGUGAAAUCCAACAGCUUAACUGUAGAAUUGCCAUUGAUACUGUCGUUCUUGAGUGCAGCUGAAGAGGGCGGAAUGUGUUGUGUAGCGGUGAAAUGCUUAGAUAUAACACAGAACACCGAUUGCGAAGGCAGCUCUCUAAACUGCAACUGACGCUGAGGCACGAAAGCGUGGGGAU
This 245-nucleotide ribosomal RNA is filed under the name uncultured bacterium. RNAcentral's name for it is "partial 16S ribosomal RNA". It matches the Rfam family "Bacterial small subunit ribosomal RNA", at positions 524 to 768 of the family's 1533-position model. The record is from RNAcentral.